Gorilla gorilla gorilla (western lowland gorilla) is the source of this 3091-nucleotide long non-coding RNA. RefSeq lists it as uncharacterized. The record is from RefSeq and is a predicted model, not a curated record. The transcript is spliced from 3 exons. Lineage: Eukaryota; Metazoa; Chordata; Mammalia; Primates; Hominidae.
GUGUGAACUGAACGCUUGGGGGACAUACCUUUCCCCACCCACCCUAGCAGAAAAGGCAGCCAAAAAUCCCAGUUUACUCAGCUUGACUACACUGCACAUCCCGUGGGAGGGAUGCUCUUGUAUCUGCUAAAGCACUGCGGAGGCGCCCUGCAGUGACCCACGAACGCAGUGGCUUUUUAAAACCCAAGGGCGUGAGGGUGGAGGGUGAUGCGAGGACUUCAGGUGAGGCUUCCUCACACUCGGGGUUUGAAGGGCAGAAAUCCGGCUCUGCCUGCCUAUGGUGGGGUGGGGGUGGGUAGGAGACUAGAAAGGAUCAGAGAUGGGGGCCGCAGAAACAGCAGCGAGCCAGCUGUGCUCAGCAGCACUUCUCCGGAUUUAAAAGAAAAAAAGAUGUUUCAUUUCUUAGCCUGGUAGCUUUUUUGGGAUUUGGUCAUUGUUAAAUUUUAAACGGAAAAACUGAAGCUGCCAGGGAAUCCUUGUAGAGGGAUGGACAGGCACGUGAGUGGAGCCCUUGGCCUCAACCAGGAAGUGCUGAAAAACGGCCAACGCACAUCCUAAUUCCCUGGACAAUGUAGGAGAUGGGUAAUUGUGUCCCUGUAACACAGGACACUCUCCUCGGAUGCAUCCCCCAAACUGGGAAAAAUUAGUUUCCUCAAACCUUAAACUGCUUGGCUUAAAAUUGAUCUUGGAGGAGGGGAACCCAGAAGACCGACAUGCUGGCAAAAAGUAAAACUUCUUACCAGUCAGACUUUUGGCCUGUCUCUCCCUGUGCAAACUGGUAACAUAAAUGGAGAGGCCCUAAGGUAACUUCUGAGGACAUGGGACUUGGCGAUAAAAACAGAGAAGGUGCUGUGGACCCCAUUUUCGGAAGAAAUCUGUUUUCCUCACAGAAUCCCAGGAAUUGAAAGCUGAUGGAUACCUCUCAAAAUCUGUUUUUGUCUUCUGGCUAUGCCUGUUUAUUAGGCUGUAGAAACUGUAUGCUCUCCUAGCGGUGCUUUUGAAAGCCUCCACCCUGAGGCCAAUAAUCCAAUUAGGAGAUUGGCAAAUGAAAAAUCUUACAAUUACUGUAUCUUCUUCUAUCUGUCUGUAUAGUUAUAUAUGUGUUAUGUGUGUGAUAUUUAUAAAAAAGAGCUCUAAUUGAUUAGCCUAAAGAAAAACAAGUGCUUAGACCAAAUAUUUUGAAGGAAAAAUAAAAGCUGUAAUGCCUUUUAGUUCACGUGACUUUAAUCUUUGAGAAAUAAAAACAAUUUUAAAGAUAAUUGGUAAAAUACAAAUGUCUUCAGAAUGUAAACAAGUGGUCUAAAUUAUGUGGGUUAGAUACUAGGUUUGCGAAAUGUUUUAAGGUUAUAAACUACUUCUUUGUUAUUUGAGAACUUUUUGACCUGCCUGCUUUACAAUUUGGUAAGGCUGAGGACAUAUGGAAUUAACCACACCCUUAACUAUACUGGAAAGAGUCAGAUCUUAUCUGUGCCUACUACACAAUUUAAAUAACCAAGUUUUACACUAAAAUUAAAAAUUGCUAAGAGUUGCUGUUAUAACAUGUAAUUGAGACUACUGAAAAUAGACUUACAUGCAAUGUGUGUAAAGAAAGUAAAAUAUGUUUUUAGUAAAAGAUAAGAAGACAAGGGAAUGUAAAUUUUUGCCUAGGGUUAAAGGAUUGUUUUGAAUUAGACAAGAUAAAACUGAAGGUUUAAACAAGUGGAGAAAGGUUUAUAAAAAUAAUCUUAUAAAAGAAGCUCUAUGUGUAACAUAUUGACUAACUUCAAAAGGGUAUUAUUUGGUUUUUCUGUAAAUUAAGCAUUGAAAUAAAAGCACAACAAGGUUUUCUUGAGGCACUGACCUGCUCUUUCACAAAAAUUUGUAGAGUUAUAAAAGGAUUACAAGAAUUUCAUCUCAUGGUCAAACUGGUUAAGAUUGAAUAGAAUUAUCUAUAAGGUUUCAUUUAAAAAUGGAGUUGAUAUUAAUAGUAGACUAAUGCAAGAGUCAAAUUUGGCUUUCUCUCUUGAACAAGAUUUUCAUGUAAUAGUAAAAGAUAAUGAAAAGUUUUUGCCUUUUUAAAAAUUUCUGAGUCAUGAUUUUGGCUAAAUAAAUAACUUAUGGUAAUCUGCUAUUCUAUUUCAUAAUAUCAGGUGUUUUGAACCUUCAACACAUUUAACAGACUUCCUAAAGUCAAACUUCAGCUUCAAAAAUUGUCUUUCCUAACCUCUAGCUUUUGGAUGCUACAGAGGGCUCUUGGAGUAUUCAAAAGAAAGGUAAACAGGAUUAUUUCACAUGUUUAGUUACAUGGGAUUGCCAAAAUAAUGUUUAAUCUUCUUCAGGUUAUAUUUCAGUGAAUAAUAUUAAUAUAUGUUCCAAAGUUAUAUGGGAUUUAAAAAAUUCUAAUGUCUGAAUAUAUGCUAUCAAUCAUAAUUAAGUUUAUUAUGUCAAGUUAUUGUAAACCACGGAAAUAACUACAUUUCUUUGUCAAUUGUGUUUUUGACUGUAACUACCCUGGAUAUUUUGUCAUUCACAGAUAAGUGUUGUCUUGCUUUAAUCCUUUUCAAAAGAUGGUUUUUAAUCAGCUAUAGGACUUUGACAGGUGCUGUUAAAUGUAGGUUUCUGAUAUCUCUGAAGAUUGUAAUAUUGGAACAAAGGAAAAAUGUACAGGACACCUGAAGAGUUGAAAUGUUCAUGGAUAUCAAACAGAAUAAAAGUUAACAGAAUGGACUGAACUAACAGAAAACUGAAGUAAUCUUUUUAACCUUUGUGCUUAAAUCCUUGCUGAUACUUGUUUUGUUUCUCAGAAUCAAGGAAACUUAUUUUGAGCUAUUUACAGUGUUUAAUAAUUGAGUAAAAUAUAUACCUGUGAACAAAAUUUCAAACAUAUUUGUUGCUCUCCGCGUGGCUUCUCCAGAAUUUGAAAACUAUUUGUGAGUAUUCUUAGCUUAUGGCAAUAUACUUAUUUGCAUUAGUGCAAUAAGAAUCCAUUUUCUUUUGCAACAGGACACAAUUGGAGAAACUGGUUGUUUUACCAAGGCUUUGGCUGGAAGGAUAUGCUUCCCUUUAAGGAAUCAAGUUUGACUUGCAGAGGCAAUAAAAGCCCCUUCGGAAA